CUUGGUAGAACUGCAUCCUGUUAGAUCAUAUUGUGAGGCCUGCACCAAAAAUUCUAGAGAGAUUGUUAGUACAAAAAUAAAAAAUAAAAAUAGAAAUUAGGGAUUGAAAAAAUAAAAAUGGAAAAAUAAAAAUAAAAAUAAAAUAAAGUAAAAAUUAAUCAAGAAUCACACAAAUAGAAUAGCUUAAAUCGUGAGUCCCCGACAACGGUACCAAAAACUUGUUGGGGCAAAUCGGCAAGUGUACCGAGUCGC
RNAcentral lists this long non-coding RNA (252 nucleotides) under Vigna radiata. RNAcentral describes it as "long non-coding RNA (VRAD_LNC012675)". The record is from RNAcentral. Lineage: Eukaryota; Viridiplantae; Streptophyta; Magnoliopsida; Fabales; Fabaceae.